Rosa chinensis is the source of this 2768-nucleotide RNA transcript. RefSeq lists it as uncharacterized. The transcript is spliced from 11 exons. The record is from RefSeq and is a predicted model, not a curated record. NCBI's taxonomy places the organism in Eukaryota, Viridiplantae, Streptophyta, Magnoliopsida, Rosales, Rosaceae.
GCUGCUGGGUUUUCAUGAUCAGGUUCCGCCACAUGUUCUAAUUAAUUUAUCUUGUUCAUUGUUUUUGUAACUAUCACUUGAUCAAUUUUGGGAUGGUUAGCUCUUUGUUUUUGAUGGGUAGCAUAGUUUGCUUUUGAUUACAUGAGGGAGGCAUUUGAGUAUUGACCAAUGUCAAUGUGGCUUGUCAUUUGUUUGAUUGAUAUCCUCGGAAUUUUCACCGCUCUUUUCAAUCCCAUUUUUAACAAACCCUGGGAAUUCUCACUUUGCUUGCUUACAUAAUGCCAAGUUAUAGGGGUUGCUUGCUCCCAGAGCUGCAAUCAAAAUCAAAGGUUACUUGCACAUGCAAAGGUCGAAUCUGUAAAAUCAAAGGAAGUGGCUGAACAGAGGAUGCUCCUGAAGAAAAGCUGGUUUUCAUUUAGAUGGCGUACGCCUGAUGAAUCUGAUGAUGAUACUUCUGAGGGAUCACAGUCACCAGAAGAAAGACUGACUGAAGAGGAGUGGCAAGCAAUUAAUAAGUUACUAAGUUACCAGCCAGAUGAAACAUUGGCAUCUCACUCAGGAAAGGACAUGCCGAAUAUGAUCCGGUUUAUGGUAACUGUGUCAGUUGAUCGGGCUGCUGCUAGGAUCGUUGAUAUAAAUCACACUGAGAUUUUGUGUUGUAAAUUUGAGCAACUUCAAGUGUCUACGAAGUUUAAACAUCAAAGUACAUGCUGUGAUGUGUCAUGCAGAUUCUAUGGUCUGUAUGCACCGGAAGGCUCGCUUGCUCAGGUAUGUCUGUUGAGAGUAUAUUUCAUUUUCAGAAUCUCCGUGCAGUACAAAUUUACAAGACAUAAUUUCUUGGGCUUUUUUGACCAUUAGCCAGUUGGUGAACAUAAACUCAAUCGUCAACAUUAACUCAAUAGAUAACAUGACAUUCCAUCUGUGGUUCUAUGUAGAGUUUUUUAUUUUCUCAAAUCACUUUGAAAUGAAGGUCUUUCAGGUUUGGAAUGGCUCCACUUGUUGAUCAGAUCAGAGUACCUCACCCAAGUUACCUGUCAAUGCGUAUUUCAAUUCAAGUGCCAAACCUCCGAGUGCACUUUUCACCAUCGAGAUUUCAGAGACUCAUGAAAUUAUUAAACAAAUUUUAUGGUACUCUGGAAACUGUUGGUCAGCCAGCUGUUGAUAAUUUUCAAGCAGAACGUGCCCCAUGGAGUCCUGCAGAUCUUUUACACGGAUGCUAGAAUUUUAGUAUGGAAGGGGAUUGGCAAUUCUGUGGCUACAUGGCGACCUUGUUUUCUUGUGUUGUCGGGGACAAAUAUUUGUGUUUUGGAGUCUGAGAAGUCGCAGACUUAUCAGCGAUACUCCAGCAUGGCUGGUGGACAAGUAUGUGAGGUUCCUCCUACAACAAGUAUUGGUGGUUCACCAUUUGGCCUUGCUGUGAUUCACAGGGGGAUGGACACUCAAAAGGCUCUGGAGUCUUCUAGUAGCUUGAUUAUUGAGUUCCGUGGGGGGAGGAGGAGGAGGUCGUUUGGUUGAAAAGACUCAUACAAGCAACAUAUCAAGCUUCUGCUCCCUCUUCAGUUGAUGUCUUGGGAGAAACAAUUGAUCGUGUUGCUGAGAUUGGUGAGCCUCCUCAGACCGGCAAUUCUAAAACAGCUGACCUUGUCAUUAAUGGGGCAUUGGUGGAGACAAAGUUAUCUAUUUAUGGAAAGACGGGUGAUAAAGGUGCUGAAGAACUUGAUGAGACUGAUGCUUGAGGUUCUUGCCAGUCGGGGGGCAGGUUCAUAUGAUUCUUUGGGAAGGUGGCAUGACACUUAAGACAAAGCUUCACUCUUUAAAAAUCAAAGAUGAGCUUCAAGGUCGUCUCUCUACAACCCCACAGUAUUUAGCUUGUUCUGUGCUGAAGAGUGACAAUUUAGUUUCAUCCCCCGGCAUAAUUGAUCCACAUUGGAAAUAAAUGUAUGUUUUACUUCAUGAGGAGGAUGAUACUUUUACAGAUGCUUUGCCAGAUUUUAUGUCUGUAUCUGAUGCAGGCUUUGGUUCACCAACUUCAGAUACGGUUUCAUGUCUAACAACUGAGGACAGCAAUGAUGCUGCUGGAUUUGCAUCUGCUAAAGGCUUAGUCCUUGAAAAGAAUCUUGUUACAGCAAGGUGCAUUUCUGCUGAGGAAUUUUAUGAGGCGGAGGGUAGUGACUAUUCCAAUUUUGUCUUUCUAACCUUCUCGACUCUGAGUUCUAGUUCACCUGAUUAUGAUGGUAUUGACACACAGUUGAGCAUCCGUAUGUCAAAACUGGAAUUCUUCUGCAACAGACCUACUUUGGUCGCUUUAAUUGAUUUUGGCCUGGACUUAAGCUCUGUGUACAGUGAGGAAAACACUGCAGACAUUACUGAAGGUUCAGGUGACAAAUCUUUGACGAACAAAGAAAAGACCGAAGAAAUUGGGCGUGUCAAAGGCUUGUUGGGUUAUGGUAAAGGUCGUGUAGUAUUUUAUUUGAACAUGAACGCGUACGUGGACAGUGUGACUGUGUUUCUCAACAAGGAGGAUGCUUCUCUGCUUGCGACGUUUGUGCAAGAAAGUUUUGUGCUAGAUCUGAAGGUGAGGAAGUUCUGUAAUAGAAGUAUGAAUUUGCUUGAAAUUCCAUAAGCUACACUUGCUUACCUGUAAUUACAUUUACUGUUAAAUAGCAUUCUAUUGUGGGUGAGCCAGAACUAGCUUCCCAAAGUCAACAAGCUGCGAGAGAAUUCGCAUGGCCACACAGCUCCGUCCAGUCCACCUCCGAGCUGACCAC